This 400-nucleotide ribosomal RNA is filed under the name uncultured bacterium. Its description in RNAcentral is "bacterial SSU rRNA". It matches the Rfam family "Bacterial small subunit ribosomal RNA", at positions 975 to 1375 of the family's 1533-position model. The record is from RNAcentral.
CUGGGCUUGACAUGUAAUGGACAACAUGUGAAAGCAUGCGACUCUUCGGAGGCGUUACACAGGUGCUGCAUGGCCGUCGUCAGCUCGUGUCGUGAGAUGUUUGGUUAAGUCCAGCAACGAGCGCAACCCCUGUUGCCAGUUACCAGCACGUGAAGGUGGGGACUCUGGCGAGACUGCCCAGAUCAACUGGGAGGAAGGUGGGGACGACGUCAGGUCAGUAUGGCCCUUAUGCCCAGGGCUGCACACGUACUACAAUGCCCAGUACAGAGGGGGCCGAAGCCGCGAGGCGGAGGAAAUCCUAAAAACUGGGCCCAGUUCGGACUGUAGGCUGCAACCCGCCUACACGAAGCCGGAAUCGCUAGUAAUGGCGCAUCAGCUACGGCGCCGUGAAUACGUUCCC